This 543-nucleotide ribosomal RNA is filed under the name uncultured bacterium. RNAcentral describes it as "bacterial SSU rRNA". It matches the Rfam family "Bacterial small subunit ribosomal RNA", at positions 777 to 1320 of the family's 1533-position model. The record is from RNAcentral.
AAUAGAUACCCGGGUAGUCCACGCCGUAAACGAUGAGUGCUAAGUGUUGGGGGUUUCCGCCCCUCAGUGCUGCAGCUAACGCAUUAAGCACUCCGCCUGGGGAGUACGGUCGCAAGACUGAAACUCAAAGGAAUUGACGGGGGCCCGCACAAGCGGUGGAGCAUGUGGUUUAAUUCGAAGCAACGCGAAGAACCUUACCAGGUCUUGACAUCCCGGUGACCACUAUGGAGACAUAGUUUCCCCUUCGGGGGCAACGGUGACAGGUGGUGCAUGGUUGUCGUCAGCUCGUGUCGUGAGAUGUUGGGUUAAGUCCCGCAACGAGCGCAACCCUUAUUCUUAGUUGCCAUCAUUCAGUUGGGCACUCUAAGGAGACUGCCGGUGAUAAACCGGAGGAAGGUGGGGAUGACGUCAAAUCAUCAUGCCCCUUAUGACCUGGGCUACACACGUGCUACAAUGGACGGUACAAACGGUUGCCAACCCGCGAGGGGAGCUAAUCCGAUAAAACCGUUCUCAGUUCGGAUUGUAGGCUGCAACUCGCCUACA